GCAAACUUGGUCAUUUAGAGGAAGUAAAAGUCGUAACAAGGUCUCCGUUGGUGAACCAGCGGAGGGAUCAUUAUAGAGUUUAUAAAACUCCCAAACCCAUGUGAACUUACCUUUGUUGCCUCGGCGGAGCCUACCCUGUAGCUACCCUGUAAGGGGGUUACCCUGUAGCGCCCCGCCGGUGGAAUUUCAAACUCUUGUUAUUUACAAUGAAUCUGAGCGUCUUAUUUUAAUAAGUCAAAACUUUCAACAACGGAUCUCUUGGUUCUGGCAUCGAUGAAGAACGCAGC
Molecule: unclassified non-coding RNA, 287 nt
Filed under: uncultured fungus
Lineage: Eukaryota; Fungi
Description: partial contains small subunit ribosomal RNA, internal transcribed spacer 1, and 5.8S ribosomal RNA
Rfam family: Eukaryotic small subunit ribosomal RNA (bases 1-73)
Source: RNAcentral